AUUGAACCCUGGCGGCAGGCCUAACACAUGCAAGUCGAGCGAGCGGCGGACGGGUGAGUAAUGUAAGGGGCCUGCCCGAUAGAGGGGGAUAACUACUGGAAACGAUAGAUAAUACCGCAUACUAUCGGAUAACCCAUAUGGGAUUAGCUAGUAGGUGAGGUUAUGGCUCAACUAGGCGACGAUCCCUAGCUGGUCUGAGAGGCUGAUCAGCCACACUGGGACGAAGACAGGUCCCGGACUCUCACGGCGGGAGCAGUGGGGAAUAUUGCACAAUGGACGCAAGCCUGAUGCAGCCAGGCCGCGUGGUGGAAGAAGGCCCUAGGGUUGUAAAGUACUGUCAGUCGGCAGGCGUUACCGACAGAAUAAGUACCGGCUAACUCCGUGCCAGCAGCCACGGUAACAC
RNAcentral lists this ribosomal RNA (403 nucleotides) under uncultured bacterium. Its description in RNAcentral is "partial 16S ribosomal RNA". It matches the Rfam family "Bacterial small subunit ribosomal RNA", at positions 30 to 526 of the family's 1533-position model. The record is from RNAcentral.